AGAGUUGGAUCCUGGCUCAGAGUGAACGCUGGCGGUAGGCCUAACACAUGCAAGUCGAACGGCAGCACAGGAGAGCUUGCUCUCUGGGUGGCGAGUGGCGGACGGGUGAGGAAUACAUCGGAAUCUACCUUUUCGUGGGGGAUAACGUAGGGAAACUUACGCUAAUACCGCAUACGACCUACGGGUGAAAGUGGGGGACCGCAAGGCCUCACGCGAUUAGAUGAGCCGAUGUCCGAUUAGCUAGUUGGCGGGGUAAUGGCCCACCAAGGCGACGAUCGGUAGCUGGUCUGAGAGGAUGAUCAGCCACACUGGAACUGAGACACGGUCCAGACUCCUACGGGAGGCAGCAGUGGGGAAUAUUGGACAAUGGGCGCAAGCCUGAUCCAGCCAUACCGCGUGGGUGAAGAAGGCCUUCGGGUUGUAAAGCCCUUUUGUUGGGAAAGAAAUCCUAUCGGUUAAUAACCGGUGGGGAUGACGGUACCCAAAGAAUAAGCACCGGCUAACUUCGUGCCAGCAGCCGCGGUAAUACGAAGGGUGCAAGCGUUACUCGGAAUUACUGGGCGUAAAGCGUGCGUAGGUGGUGGUUUAAGUCUGCUGUGAAAGCCCUGGGCUCAACCUGGGAAUUGCAGUGGAUACUGGAUCACUAGAGUGUGGUAGAGGGAUGCGGAAUUUCUGGUGUAGCAGUGAAAUGCGUAGAGAUCAGAAGGAACAUCC
This 714-nucleotide ribosomal RNA is filed under the name Pseudoxanthomonas sp. KAs5-R5. RNAcentral's name for it is "bacterial SSU rRNA". It matches the Rfam family "Bacterial small subunit ribosomal RNA", at positions 8 to 711 of the family's 1533-position model. Lineage: Bacteria; Pseudomonadati; Pseudomonadota; Gammaproteobacteria; Lysobacterales; Lysobacteraceae. The record is from RNAcentral.